RNAcentral lists this ribosomal RNA (368 nucleotides) under uncultured Terriglobus sp. RNAcentral's name for it is "bacterial SSU rRNA". It matches the Rfam family "Bacterial small subunit ribosomal RNA", at positions 505 to 874 of the family's 1533-position model. The record is from RNAcentral. Lineage: Bacteria; Pseudomonadati; Acidobacteriota; Terriglobia; Terriglobales; Acidobacteriaceae.
GUGCCAGCAGCUGCGGUAAUACGAGGGGGCAAGCGUUGUUCGGAAUUAUUGGGCGUAAAGGGCGCGUAGGCGGUUUGGCAAGUUUGGUGUGAAAUCUUCGGGCUCAACUCGAAGUCUGCACCGAAAACUGCCGGGCUUGAGUAUGGGAGAGGUGAGUGGAAUUUCCGGUGUAGCGGUGAAAUGCGUAGAUAUCGGAAGGAACACCUGUGGCGAAAGCGGCUCACUGGACCAUUACUGACGCUGAGGCGCGAAAGCUAGGGGCAAACAGGAUUAGAUACCCUGGUAGUCCUAGCCCUAAACGAUGAUUGCUUGAUGUGGCAGGUACCCAAUCCUGCCGUGUCGAAGCUAACGCGAUAAGCAAUCCGCCU